UACAGAGGGUGCAAGCGUUAAUCGGAAUUACUGGGCGUAAAGCGUGCGUAGACGGUUAUGUAAGUCGGGUGUGAAAGCCCCGGGCUCAACCUGGGAAUGCCAUUCGAGACUGCAUAGCUAGGGUGCGGAAGAGGGAAGCGGAAUUUCAGGUGUAGCGGUGAAAUGCGUAGAUAUCUGAAGGAACACCAGUGGCGAAAGCGGCUUCCUGGUCCAACACCGACGUUCAGGCACGAAAGCGUGGGGAGCAAACAGG
This 253-nucleotide ribosomal RNA is filed under the name uncultured bacterium. RNAcentral describes it as "partial 16S ribosomal RNA". It matches the Rfam family "Bacterial small subunit ribosomal RNA", at positions 524 to 776 of the family's 1533-position model. The record is from RNAcentral.